AAAGAUGCGGUAAUUGACAAAUCAAUUGGAAUGGGUGCAUUCUUAUGGUUUCUCUUGUUCAUCUUGACGUGUGUGGCUCUACGCGCAACUGACGUUUGCAGGUGACCCUCCAAUUCAGGGAAAUGAAAGAGAAUUCAUUCAAUUCAUAAUCUCUAUCGCGUGACACUCGGUGACAUGCACAAAGUGCAGCGUACUCUACUCUCCGACUGAAAUCCUCAAAAAUUUUCCAAAAGGGCGUACAAGACACAAGGAGUGCCCCGAUUCCAACAGGUUACCUGCAUCUCGAAGGCCUCCAUACAGCUCUGUGCAACAUGGUGCAGCUAUAUAUCAGCUAUUCAAACCAAGGAAAUUACAUUGUACGCUUAGAAGACACAGAUCAAACAGGACUCGUACCAGAUGCUGCCGGUAAACUCCAAGUGAAGCAAAGAGAAUCUUACUGCGUCAGUUUCAAGGUACAAGAAACAUGUAUGACUGAUGAUUCAACUCGGAGAGGAUAACUGGGUUCAUAAUAUCACCGAGUAUAUCUAUGGAGCAUAACUGUAGGUGCUACAGCAAGAUGAGAGGGAUGUAGGCAAGUUUUUUAUUUCGAAUGCAAGGAUGUUCUAAUCGAAUGAUCGUAGACCAACCCAGAGAAAGAGACUCUAACGAUGAGGUUGUACUGAAGGGAGAAUUGCCACCGCUCCUUCAACUUGCAGAUUCGAUUUGCAAAAUCCUGAGUGGAGGAUGGUAAAACGAUUUCUGUGCGCUAUUCAUCCGGUAUCAGCACUUUCUGACGAGCAUCUCCUUACCUAGAACAGGAAGUGUGCUUACACCUGCAAGUUUAAAAAUUGCAAAAUAAUUAUCAUACACAUGCAUAGCGUCGAAUAGUUGAUGUAUGCGAAUAAGUCUUCAUGUAAUGUAUUCAUAAGUUCUAUUCAUUUGAAUUACUGGGGCAAUAUUGUAUCAUUAAAAUGAACAUUGUACAUCUUGUGAAAGAUAUUGCAAAGUUUUUUAUAAUUCUUUAAAUAAUGUAUGUAUGCUGAAUGUAUUCCUUGCAUAACUCAUGAAUAAAUGAUAGGCUAUUUUCUA
Long non-coding RNA from Athalia rosae (coleseed sawfly), 1068 nucleotides. RefSeq lists it as uncharacterized. Lineage: Eukaryota; Metazoa; Arthropoda; Insecta; Hymenoptera; Athaliidae. The transcript has 3 exons. The record is from RefSeq and is a predicted model, not a curated record.